ACGCGUAAGAACUUGCCUCUUAGUCCGGGACAACAUCUGGAAACGGAUGCUAAUACCGGAUAUUAUGGNUUUUUUCGCAUGGAGGAAUCAUGAAAGCUAGAUGCGCUAAGAGAGAGCUUUGCGUCCCAUUAGCUCGUUGGUGAGGUAACGGCCCACCAAGGCAAUGAUGGGUAGCCGGCCUGAGAGGGUGAACGGCCACAAGGGGACUGAGACACGGCCCUUACUCCUACGGGAGGCAGCAGUGGGGAAUAUUGGACAAUGGACCACAAGUCUGAUCCAGCAAUUCUGUGUGCACGAUGACGUUUUUCGGAAUGUAAAGUGCUUUCAGUCGGGAAGAAGUCAGUGACGGUACCGACAGAAGAAGCGACGGCUAAAUACGUGCCAGCAGCCGCGGUAAUACGUAUGUCGCAAGCGUUAUCCGGAUUUAUUGGGCGUAAAGCGCGUCUAGGCGGCAAGGAAAGUCUGAUGUGAAAAUGC
This 477-nucleotide ribosomal RNA is filed under the name uncultured Fusobacterium sp. RNAcentral's name for it is "bacterial SSU rRNA". It matches the Rfam family "Bacterial small subunit ribosomal RNA", at positions 113 to 603 of the family's 1533-position model. The record is from RNAcentral. Lineage: Bacteria; Fusobacteriati; Fusobacteriota; Fusobacteriia; Fusobacteriales; Fusobacteriaceae.